RNAcentral lists this transfer RNA (72 nucleotides) under Bos taurus (domestic cattle). It matches the Rfam family "tRNA". From Rfam's summary of the family: Transfer RNA (tRNA) molecules are approximately 80 nucleotides in length. Their secondary structure includes four short double-helical elements and three loops (D, anti-codon, and T loops). The record is from Rfam by way of RNAcentral. Lineage: Eukaryota; Metazoa; Chordata; Mammalia; Artiodactyla; Bovidae. RNAcentral also lists the same sequence under 5 other names.
UCCUUAGUGGCUCAGAUGGUAAAGCAUCUGCCUGCAAUGCAGGAGACCUGGGUUUGACCCUUGGGUUGGGAA